GACAAAAUGCUGCAGUAUCCUUUCUUUGUGCUUCAUGUAUCUAAGGUGACGUUGUCUGGCCGUUAUCAUGCGCUGUAUGUAAUGAGUAAUUUUGUACGUUUACGUUGCGUUGGUGCUUUCACAAUGCUGCCUGGAAAAGGAGGGUUAUUAUGGUCAAUGGUUAGGGUCUUUUGAGAGAUGUUCAGAAUCAGCCGUGAUCAUACACAUCAGGUCUUAUUAAAGCAGGCAACGAUUUGGCCUAACAAGCAGAUAGUCAAAAACCUACUGGCUGCAUCUGAAAAAGGCUCCCUAUUCACUACAGAGUGCUCUUCUUUUGACCAGAGUCCUAUGAGCCCUGAUCAGAAGUAGUGUACUAUACAGCUAUAUGGAAAAUGGUGGCAAUAGACUUGGGGAUCUGAAGCAAAUUUACCAGAAGGAAAUUAUGACACCUGGAACAUUAUGGGCCAGUUUAUCAGACAAAGAUUAUCAAUCAGUGAUAGAGGUUGUUACUCCUGGACUAGGCCUACUCUAUGUCUGGGAAAUCUCUAAAUGUCAUUGGAGGAAUGAUGAUAAAAAACAAAUGAACUCUUCUGUAAUGCUGUUCUCAAGUAUUGUAUCCUAGCUCCUUAUUUUGUGUCUUAUUUGACUUUCUUGAUUGCUAACAUGAAGAGAUCUGUCAAAACGCACCACUGAAAAAAAGCAUCAAAGACGUGGAUCUAAUGUUUUAAUCCAUGGAUGCAAUGUUACUAUAGUGUUUAUUCCAACAGGCUGGGUCUAUUGAAGCUUCUAUGAUUGCUUCCUUUGUGUGUUUUGUUUUCUGGGUAGCUAGUUAGAUGUUUCAUGGUUCUGCUUGGAGUUGUUCAGUGUGCCGGCACUGAAUUAGAAGGAUCCCAGUUGGAAGUAAUCCUUCUGUGAUUCCUUGAUUCUCUCAUUAGAAAACGUUUGGUGUGGUCUUCCUCCAUAGGAAAGGAUGCUGCAGCACUCAAUGUGAAGAACAUUUGUUGCACUGAAAUAUUUAAAAGAUCUUUGUGUUGUUUAUAAUAUUGAUUUGUGAAAAAAAAAAAAAGAAAACGAGUGAAGGAUAAGACAGUGUUACAGAUAACUUUUAUAUGGUUUCAGAUAAUGUGAUAUAAUUCUGAAAUGUAUAAUUAUCGAGAUGUUUUUCAAUAUUGAGAAAGCUAUACACGUCUCUUUACUUACGUAGUGUUUCAUUUAUUUGGUAUGUUAAUUCACCAUGUGUUUUUGUACCGUCACAAAUGUCUGUGCAAUUUCUUUUCUACAAAAUGUUUUAUUUUCAAUACUGCUUCUGUAAUUUGCCAUCCCAGAUAAAAAAAAAAAUGAAAAGCAAAAAAGAAGUAAUCUGUUGAGGCCUUAAUGACUGAAGUAAUGUUUCUAUAUUUGGACUCCGUCCUAAAUGUACCUAUUCCAUAUGGUGCGCUGUUUUAGAGCAGAGUCCAUAGUGCAGUAUUUCCCAAUCCUGGUCCUGAGGACCCCAAUGGGUGCAUGUUUUUGCCCUCACACUCACACAUUUGAUUCAAAUGUUGCCCUCACACUUAGACACUUGAUUGAUGUAAUCAACCUAUCAUCAAGUCUAUAAUAUGAAUCAGGUGUAUGAAUGCUAGGGCAAAUAUACAUGCACCCCUUGGGGUCCCCAAGACCAGGAUUGGGAAACACUGCCAUAGGGUUCUGGUUAAAAGUAAUGCAUUAUAUAAAGGAAUAGAGUGCCAUUUGAUUCCCUGGUCAGCUCCGAGACCCAUCUGUCUAUGUUGUUUCUGACUAUGAUCAAUGACUACUACAUUCCAAAGAAUUGGAUCAAAUAAAUGUUUGAAUAAGAUUCAUUCUAUGAAGUUGUUUCAGUUCAGAGAUGAUGAUUACAUGUUUAAAAUGUAGGUCUACCCUGUUAAUGUGGGCUGUGUCAUAUCCAUGUCGAACACCUGAGGGUAGUAUUGCCUAAAAUAUUUUGGAUAAUGGCAUCAACAAGGGC
This is a long non-coding RNA of Esox lucius (northern pike), 1963 nucleotides long. The record is from Ensembl. Lineage: Eukaryota; Metazoa; Chordata; Actinopteri; Esociformes; Esocidae.